AACGCAAAUCGCGCUCGAGGCCUCGGCCGAGAGCAUGCCUGCCUCAGCGUCGUGCCAACCCAUCCUCCCCUUCGAGCACGAAGGGGGAGGGAGCUGGUCGUUCCGAUUGUCGCGAUCGGAUCGGCUGAAACGCAGAAGGGCCCUCCCCUCCGAGAGGGCGCCCGAAAGGUGGUGGUGAUCUACACCUAUCCGAUCGGCGCCCGAGCGGGAGAGUGCCCUAUCGCCGGAAGCGCAGACCUCUGACCUGAGUUCAGGCAAGGCUACCCGCUGAACUUAA
RNAcentral lists this unclassified non-coding RNA (277 nucleotides) under uncultured fungus. RNAcentral's name for it is "partial contains 5.8S ribosomal RNA, internal transcribed spacer 2, and large subunit ribosomal RNA". The record is from RNAcentral. Lineage: Eukaryota; Fungi.